UACGAGGGGGGCGAGCGUUGUUCGGAAUUAUUGGGCGUAAAGGGUGCGUAGGCGGUUCCGCAAGUCCUGUGUGAAAUCUUCGGGCUCAACUCGAAGUCUGCACGGGAAACUGCGGGGCUUGAGUGUGGGAGAGGUGAGUGGAAUUCCCGGUGUAGCGGUGAAAUGCGUAGAUAUCGUGAGGAAGACCAGUGGCGAAGGCGGGUCUCUGGACAGUUCCUGACACUGAGGCACGAAGGCCAGGGGAGCAAACGGG
This 253-nucleotide ribosomal RNA is filed under the name uncultured bacterium. Its description in RNAcentral is "partial 16S ribosomal RNA". It matches the Rfam family "Bacterial small subunit ribosomal RNA", at positions 524 to 776 of the family's 1533-position model. The record is from RNAcentral.